This is a long non-coding RNA of Pollicipes pollicipes, 972 nucleotides long. RefSeq lists it as uncharacterized. The transcript has 2 exons. The record is from RefSeq and is a predicted model, not a curated record. NCBI's taxonomy places the organism in Eukaryota, Metazoa, Arthropoda, Thecostraca, Pollicipedomorpha, Pollicipedidae.
AAACAGUGCGACAAACCGGAAAACGUUCCCGAAUGUUAUUACGAGUGACGUCUGCAAUGUUGACGCCAAGAAAGUCUCAUCAAGGAGGCGGGCGGCGGCGAUGCCAUCAAGAGGAAGUGAAGCCAUACCGAGGACUGCAGCAAGGGAUGUACCGAGGAAUUCAUCACGAGCAGUACUGGUUCGCACAUACCGGGGAUCAUCGCACCUAUGACUAUAAGGCAAUCCAAACAUAAAACACGAUGGCCUUAUCGUAUGAACCAGAUUUUACCACGCCCACUUUAAUCGGUCCUGCCCAUUGCGCGUACAUUGCGACCAAAUACGUCAUGUUGUGAAUGAAACCCACCCGAGCGAGGACGACCCAAGAUACCUAAAAUACUUUUACACUAUCCAGUUGAACAAAAUUCUUCAUGUCUUGCAAUCAUGUAAUCAUCUCAUCGUAGAUAAUCAGUCCCGCUUCAAACGUGUUCAUGGUGGUUGCCGCAACUCCACAAACGAUCAGUGUGUUACCAUCGUACAUAUCACUUGUUACAUUGCAGACGUAUAGUUUGCACAGUCUAUGUCAACUUUCAAUGCUCCGUCGUGUUGCGUUGCACAUGUAACUCACACAGCGCACGGAAACGCACACAUGUAACGCACACAGCAUCGAAAGGUGCGCCCUGCGGUGACUGCUCAUGGUUCUAACGUGGCCGACGACUGCUUGCGGUCGACGUCUGGCGACAGAGGAUUUCUAAUUUCCCGAACUGCACUAACGUGACUGAAAUGCGUUUAAAAUGCGGAGUUGUCAUGGUGACGCAUGCGACACGGUUAGAUGUGGUGAAAUAUUUCGUGAUUGAUCUUGGAGAUAUUUCAUGAUUGGUCGUGAUGGGAUGUCAAUAGUGACAGUGGCGAGGCUUCAGGGUUAGGUGUGAUGAGACGGGACUGCGGAGCAAUAAUUCAUGUUUCGUUUUUAAUACACCUUGUGGUUGUCGCAUC